RNAcentral lists this ribosomal RNA (1436 nucleotides) under Salmonella enterica subsp. enterica serovar Kintambo. Its description in RNAcentral is "partial 23S ribosomal RNA". It matches the Rfam family "Bacterial large subunit ribosomal RNA", at positions 568 to 1907 of the family's 2925-position model. The record is from RNAcentral. Lineage: Bacteria; Pseudomonadati; Pseudomonadota; Gammaproteobacteria; Enterobacterales; Enterobacteriaceae.
AAGCCAGUGGUGAACUCCACAUACGCAUCCUUUGCUGAGGAUACGGUUAACGGAGCGAAAGCGACGUUCAACCUCAAAAGAAGCAGAGGGGGCUUAGUGGUGGGGUGACUGCGUACCUUUUGUAUAAUGGGUCAGCGACUUAUAUUCUGUAGCAAGGUUAACCGCAUAGGGGAGCCGUAGGGAAACCGAGUCUUAACCGGGCGUUAAGUUGCAGGGUAUAGACCCGAAACCCGGUGAUCUAGCCAUGGGCAGGUUGAAGGUUGGGUAACACUAACUGGAGGACCGAACCGACUAAUGUUGAAAAAUUAGCGGAUGACCUGUGGCUGGGGGUGAAAGGCCAAUCAAACCGGGAGAUAGCUGGUUCUCCCCGAAAGCUAUUUAGGUAGCGCCUCGUGAACUCAUCUCCGGGGGUAGAGCACUGUUUCGGCUAGGGGGCCAUCCCGGCUUACCAACCCGAUGCAAACUGCGAAUACCGAAGAAUGUUAUCACGGGAGACACACGGCGGGUGCUAACGUCCGUCGUGAAGAGGGAAACAACCCAGACCGCCAGCUAAGGUCCCAAAGUCAUGGUUAAGUGGGAAACGAUGUGGGAAGGCACAGACAGCCAGGAUGUUGGCUUAGAAGCAGCCAUCAUUUAAAGAAAGCGUAAUAGCUCACUGGUCGAGUCGGCCUGCGCGGAAGAUGUAACGGGGCUAAACCAUGCACCGAAGCUGCGGCAGCGACACUAUGUGUUGUUGGGUAGGGGAGCGUUCUGUAAGCCGUUGAAGGUGUCCUGUGAGGGAUGCUGGAGGUAUCAGAAGUGCGAAUGCUGACAUAAGUAACGAUAAUGCGGGUGAAAAACCCGCACGCCGGAAGACCAAGGGUUCCUGUCCAACGUUAAUCGGGGCAGGGUGAGUCGACCCCUAAGGCGAGGCCGAAAGGCGUAGUCGAUGGGAAACAGGUUAAUAUUCCUGUACUUGGUGUUACUGCGAAGGGGGGACGGAGAAGGCUAUGUUGGCCGGGCGACGGUUGUCCCGGUUUAAGCGUGUAGGUGUGUGUUCCAGGUAAAUCCGGUUCACUUUAACACUGAGGCGUGAUGACGAGGCACUACGGUGCUGAAGUGACAAAUGCCCUGCUUCCAGGAAAAGCCUCUAAGCAUCAGGUAACACGAAAUCGUACCCCAAACCGACACAGGUGGUCAGGUAGAGAAUACCAAGGCGCUUGAGAGAACUCGGGUGAAGGAACUAGGCAAAAUGGUGCCGUAACUUCGGGAGAAGGCACGCUGAUAUGUAGGUGAAGCGGUUUACCCGUGGAGCUGAAAUCAGUCGAAGAUACCAGCUGGCUGCAACUGUUUAUUAAAAACACAGCACUGUGCAAACACGAAAGUGGACGUAUACGGUGUGACGCCUGCCCGGUGCCGGAAGGUUAAUUGAUGGGGUUAUCCGUAAGGAGAAGCUC